AGGUGCAACAAUUUUGACAUUUAUCUCCAGCUGCGUAAAAGGCCAGUAAAGUCAAUUAAACUAUAUAGUUACAGAUAAACAAAUGGUCAGGACGACUGAACUGCAUUAAAAUUGCGAUACGUGUCGCAUUCAGAUCACACCAAGUGAACAAUGCGUCUCCAGUUACUUGUGCUUCUGAUGUUUGCACUUAUGUCCGCGUUGUCUGCGGUCGUAAUAAGAAAAGAGUGUCCCAAAUGCAAGAGUGAUGAAAUACGGGUCUGUCGUGAUAAGUGUUAUUGUCAAAGAAAAGUUGUUUUACCUAUUGGUAGAAUUAAUUGAAGUAUAUAAUAUGAAUAGAAAAUAUAGAUUUAUUAAUUUACACUUACACUAUAUUAUAAAUAA
Long non-coding RNA from Aethina tumida (small hive beetle), 381 nucleotides. RefSeq lists it as uncharacterized. The record is from RefSeq and is a predicted model, not a curated record. The transcript has 2 exons. NCBI's taxonomy places the organism in Eukaryota, Metazoa, Arthropoda, Insecta, Coleoptera, Nitidulidae.